Gallus gallus (chicken) is the source of this 1573-nucleotide long non-coding RNA. NCBI's taxonomy places the organism in Eukaryota, Metazoa, Chordata, Aves, Galliformes, Phasianidae. The record is from Ensembl.
GUUGCUGCUGCUCAGGAAGUGCUGUGGAUCCACUCAGUAGUAACAACUGGUAUUCCUCAAAAGAGGAAUAAGCCUUUGGAUUUCCUGAAACCUAAACCAUAAGAAAGGUAUUGUAAGACUUUACUGUGGAGCCAAACAGCACCAAAGGGAGAAAGGACACCUGCAGGACUCCCAGGAAGGAUGGAAACCACACCUAUAUUCUUUUGAAAACAUAUAAACGUGGUUUCCAUGCUCAUUUCUUGUUGUACAAGAGUAAGAAAGUUCCAUCUCUUGAGACAAUUGCAUAGAAAAGGAGGAGCUGAUGUAAAUGAGCAAUUGAGAAUUACCUACACAUGAGCAGCACUGCCCAGAGGACUCAACAGGUGCCCAGUGCCAGGCCAUUAACUCUGAAGGACUGGUGGCCAAGGCCAGCAAAGCACAGGAAAACUGUGCUUAGCCCCUACAGGUGAAUCUGUGGCAAGGUAGAAGGUCCAUGGUUCUCAUAAGGAAGUGAAGGAGUUGCAAAAUGGGAGCUUCUGCAGAAAAGUGUCUUCUGGCACUAGCUGUGCCCCAUUCCUACCAUCAAUAAGCCUUGGGUGAAAAGAGGGAGGUGCUCCAGGGGGACUUGGGAAAGCAGACUGGAUGUGACAGUGAAAAAUAAGGCUAUUGGAGGCACACAGCCAUGAGCCAGGAAUGGCUGAGCCCUGAGUCCCACAGGGACUCCCUCCAUAGGUCCGCCUAGAGGAGCACCAGGCUCCCACGGGUUCACUUUCAGCUGCUGAGAGCCAUUCUAUCCUUAGCACUGCCCUCCCCAGAGCUGCCACGAAUGUGUUCUGCACUGUGAGUCCAGAGAUCCACAGCUGCAGCUCUGGAGUGGGAGCUUUCCUUGGCAGCUCUGGGUGAGACGUGGGCGAGGGCACCAGCGGAAGGAGCCCCGUUACGCCCUGACCCGUGUGAGCACACGUCUGUUUCUGCGCAGCCUCCCUCGCAGACCAGCCGAAAUCUGGGUUAUAUAAUGCCACUGCUGCCUCGAAACAGGGAGGUUAAAAUGAGGUCGUCCAAGAUGGGAGCUGCCUGCAGCCUGCAGCCGCCUCGGGAGGACGAUCCGCUGCCUGCGCCGAGCCCUGCACGCAGGGGAGCACUGCAACAUAAACAUACAGAACCAUAGGUCAGGAUGCUGGAAGUCUCCAGAGCGCUCACGGUGUGGAAUCAGGCCCAUUUCUUUAUUUGCAUCUCCCUGUUUACGUGACGAACUGUGCUGAGCAGGCAGCGUGACGGGCUGCGGUCACAGGGCACUGCAGAGCUGCGGGGUGCCAGAUCCACACAGCACAGAGCUCUGUGCCACAGUCAACCCCAGGUUUUACCCUUUUUAAGCAUGUUUUAAGGGUGCAAGGUCUACAUUAUUCCUUCCAUCAUUGCUUUAUUUGCAGUAUGCUGUGGAAAGGCCAUCGCUCCAAGGGGAUCCACGUAAGAAAGUAUACAACUGUAAUAGAAAAAGCAAGAAUUCUGUUGCAUUAAAGCAGAUAUUCUUUUUCCAGAAUACUAAUGCAAUUCCUCCAGAACAAAGAGUGGAAGCUUCCUCCUGUAAGUGCAU